AUUGAACGCUGGCGGCAGGCCUAACACAUGCAAGUCGAGCGGAUGAAGGGAGCUUGCUCCUGGAUUCAGCGGCGGACGGGUGAGUAAUGCCUAGGAAUCUGCCUGGUAGUGGGGGAUAACGUCCGGAAACGGGCGCUAAUACCGCAUACGUCCUGAGGGAGAAAGUGGGGGAUCUUCGGACCUCACGCUAUCAGAUGAGCCUAGGUCGGAUUAGCUAGUUGGUGGGGUAAAGGCCUACCAAGGCGACGAUCCGUAACUGGUCUGAGAGGAUGAUCAGUCACACUGGAACUGAGACACGGUCCAGACUCCUACGGGAGGCAGCAGUGGGGAAUAUUGGACAAUGGGCGAAAGCCUGAUCCAGCCAUGCCGCGUGAGUGAAGAAGGUCUUCGGAUUGUAAAGCACUUUAGGUUGGGAGGAAGGGGAAGAGGUUAAUACCUUGCUGUUUUGACGUUACCAGCAGAAUAAGCACCGGCUAACUUCGUG
This 484-nucleotide ribosomal RNA is filed under the name uncultured bacterium. Its description in RNAcentral is "partial 16S ribosomal RNA". It matches the Rfam family "Bacterial small subunit ribosomal RNA", at positions 30 to 507 of the family's 1533-position model. The record is from RNAcentral.